Molecule: ribosomal RNA, 870 nt
Filed under: Hepatozoon canis
Lineage: Eukaryota; Apicomplexa; Hepatozoidae
Description: bacterial SSU rRNA
Rfam family: Eukaryotic small subunit ribosomal RNA
Source: RNAcentral
CCUGCCAGUAGUCAUAUGCUUGUUUUAAAGAUUAAGCCAUGCAUGUCUAAGUAUAAGCAAAAAUACAGCAAAACUGCAAAUGGCUCAUUAAAACAGUUAUUGUUUACUUGAUAAUAAUUUUUACAUGGAUAACCGUGGUAAUUCUACAGCUAAUACAUGAGCAAAAUCUCAACUUUAUUAGAAGAGACGCAUUUAUUAGAUAAAAAGCCAGUUCAUGCUUUUACAGUAUGAAAAUUGGUGAUUUUUAAUAACUUAGCAAAUCGCAAAGUGAAAACAGGCGAUAAAUCAUUCAAGUUUCUGACCUAUCAGCUUUCGACGGUAUGGUAUUGGCUUACCGUGGCAGUGACGGUUAACGGGGGAUUAGGGUUCGAUUCCGGAGAGGGAGCCUGAGAAACGGCUACCACAUCUAAGGAAGGCAGCAGGCGCGCAAAUUACCCAAUUCUAACAGUUUGAGAGAGGUAGUAACAAGAAAUAACAAUACAAGGCAGUUAAAAUGCUUUGUAAUUGGAAUGAUAGAAAUUUAAACCCUUUUUAAAAUAUCAAUUGGAGGGCAAGUCUGGUGCCAGCAGCCGCGGUAAUUCCAGCUCCAAUAGCGUAUAUUAAAAUUGUUGCAGUUAAAAAGCUCGUAGUUGAAGUUCUGCUGAAAGUAACCGGUCUGCUUUUAAUAAAAGUGGUAUCUUGGUAUGUAUUUAGCAAUGAUGUCCUUUGAAGUGUUUUUUACUUUAUUGUAAUAAAGCAUAUUCAGGACUUUUACUUUGAGAAAAUUAGAGUGUUUCUAGCAGGCUAACGCUUUGAAUACUGCAGCAUGGAAUAAUAAGAUAGGAUUUUAGUGCUACAUUAUUGGUUUUAAGAGCUAAAUUAAUGAUGAUA